RNAcentral lists this long non-coding RNA (258 nucleotides) under Gallus gallus (chicken). Lineage: Eukaryota; Metazoa; Chordata; Aves; Galliformes; Phasianidae. The record is from RNAcentral.
UCUCUUUCCAUCUGGAUACCUUAGCAUCAGCUGUGCCUUUGGUCCAUUCACAUCUAGGCCCUGCAACAUACUUUCAGGCUUCUCAGCUGGCUCCUCCACUACCCCUGCAUCAAUGCAGGGUAGUACUCUAUGAUUUGAUGUUGUCCCAGGCUCAGUCCUUGCAGGGGGCUCAGGCUGAGGCCUCCGGCUCUCCUCUUUUUUAUACCCCAAGUCCUUAUGUGGAGACUUCCUCAACUUGGCAGGAUUCUCCGAUUCCUC